UACGGGGGGGGCAAGCGUUGUUCGGAAUUACUGGGCGUAAAGGGUUCGUAGGUGGCUUGCUAAGUCAGACGUGAAAUCCCUCGGCUCAACCGGGGAACUGCGUCUGAUACUGGCGGGCUUGAAUUCGGGAGAGGGAUGUGGAAUUCCAGGUGUAGCGGUGAAAUGCGUAGAUAUCUGGAGGAACACCGGUGGCGAAGGCGGCAUCCUGGACCGACAUUGACGCUGAGGCGCGAAAGCCAGGGGAGCAAACGGG
Molecule: ribosomal RNA, 253 nt
Filed under: uncultured bacterium
Lineage: Bacteria
Description: partial 16S ribosomal RNA
Rfam family: Bacterial small subunit ribosomal RNA
Source: RNAcentral